This 3043-nucleotide long non-coding RNA is filed under the name Brassica napus (rape). RNAcentral describes it as "long non-coding RNA (BNAP_LNC000219)". The record is from RNAcentral. Lineage: Eukaryota; Viridiplantae; Streptophyta; Magnoliopsida; Brassicales; Brassicaceae.
UAAUGAAUUCACACAAACAUAACACUAGUCCAAUCUCUACACUCUCCUUCUCAUCUCACUACAAAUACUCCCUCUUUGCUACCUCCUUAGACCUAAAACGACAACGUUUCACUUCUCCGUUGUUGUUGAUCUUCUUGUUCCUCUGUUUGUCUUUUGCUACUUCCAUGGCAGUCUCAGACUCAGAUUCAGACUCUGGUCCUGUUGUUCAGACGACCCCACUCGUCACCUUCCUCCAGCGCGUGCAACUCACGGCACUCCGAUCAUACUCCAAGAAGCCUGACCCUAAAUUCUACAUUGACCUGUCUCUCAAGCUCCCUCACGAUCUCUCCACCGCCGAGUCCGCCUUCGACGAUCUCACGACCGGGUCACGUGACCUGUCAGUGCCAGUGGAGAAGCUUGAAAAGUUCGUCCACGAGUACUUCGACGAUGCAGGGAAGGAUCUGGUGCACCACGAGCCAGAGGACUUCGUCUCAGAUCCCACCGAGUUCCUCCUCAACGUGGAGAACGACCAAGUCAGAGAAUGGGCGCGUGAGGUACACUGCCUUUGGAGAACCCUGAGCUGCAGAGUCUCUGACUCGGUCAUAGAGUCACCUGACCGGCACACGCUUCUCCCGUUGCCGGAACCGGUUAUCAUUCCCGGUUCGAGAUUCAGAGAAGUUUAUUACUGGGAUUCUUAUUGGGUUAUCAAGUCAGUGUUCAUCAACUUCUCACACCAUUGUUUUUUUUCUUCUAUAAUUAAUUCUUCAACUCCUUUUAAUAUUCCGUGUUGACUACGCAACACGAGCUCACGUGUCGAUGUCAUGUUAUGUGGUGCGCUUUUGCACGUGCAGAGGACUUUUGACGAGUAAAAUGUUCACUACGGCCAAAGGUUUAGUGACGAACCUGAUGUCACUUGUGGAGACUUAUGGUUACGCUUUGAACGGUGCUAGAGCUUAUUACACUAACCGAAGGUAAAAACCAAAACAGAUAAUCAUCGUAAAAUGUUACGUAACAGAGAGUAAUAGGCUGUUUUUUUAUUGUAACAAGCCAACCACCUCUAUUGAGCUCAAUGGUCUAUGAGAUCUAUAACGUAACCAAAGAUGAAGAACUUGUGAGGAAAGCUAUCCCUGUGCUUCUCAAAGAGUACGAGUUCUGGAACUCAGGUUAGUUUUUUAGUUGAGUUACAUAAUGAUAUGGUGUGUUCUUUCCUAUAUUUAAUGUUGGUUAUAUUAUAAGUAUCUUUUAAUUUUGUAGGAAAACAUAAGGUUGUAAUUCGAGACGCAAGUGGCAAUGAUCACAUCUUAAGCCGGUAUUACGCCAUGUGGAACAUGCCUAGACCUGAAUCCUCUGUUUUCGUAUGUUUCUUGUCUCAUUAGCUCAAGUAAACUGUAGCUUUUUUUUAACUUGGAAAAAAAUAUUUUGACUCCCUCUCUCUCUCUCUCUCGCUCACAGGAUCAAGAAUCAGCUUCGGGGUUUUCGAGUACGUUAGAGAAACAACGGUUCCAUCGAGAUAUAGCUACGGCUGCUGAAUCAGGAUGCGACUUCAGCACGAGAUGGAUGAGGUUAAAUUUAUUAUCAAAAUUGUUACUAGAAUCGUUUAUAUUACUGUCACACUUAAAUGUUAAAUUACUAUACCAAAAUUUUCAAGAUUUUACAUAACAACAUAAAAACAAAAUAGCAGUAUGCAGUAAUUAAAUCUAAACAAAACAUCUAACCAACAGAAAUUGAAAUGAAAGGUCCUUAAACUAUGAAUGAGUGGAAUGGCCGAUACAGUUACCAUGAGCUGCUGAAGGAAAGUAAAAUGUUGAAUUAACAAUGACUCUCAAGGGUCAAAACUCCAUCGUCGCAUCUUGCAUUCUGCAUCGAUGUUUUGGGUGCGUAUCAUUUCGUUUUAGGGUUUAGCAGAAUAAAAGAUAACAUAAUCUACUCCUUUUUGUUGUUAGAUUGCAUUUGAAUGGGAAUAUUGUUACGGAGUUGCAUCAUUUGUCUGUAUCUAGGAAAAGUUUAAUUUAUGGAGGGUUUGGCAUGCUUCCUCUAAUCAAGAAAUAAAAGUAAGCUCUGCUGGCUCCUAUGAUGUGUAUGUUUUGACUAUAAGCUAAAUAAUAAAUAAGUAAGGCCACCACCAACUUCUUAGGCGUGUCACUUUUCCUCCCGUGAUUACUUCUUUAAAAAGCGAGUUUAGUUUUGUUUCUUACUUUAUUAAAAAAUUACGUAUUUUCAGAAAUUGUUUGUUGAUAGGUUCGGUUCGUAUUGAAUUUGAACUCCUUGGAUACUUGAGCAUAUUGUUUAGAAAGAUCACAAAUCCACACAAACUUGCCAAACAAAUCUAAUCGUUAUCAUCCUGAACCAAUCAGAAUGACCCGUCUGACUCAGCCAGAGGGUUUACUGGUAUAUAUAUUUCCAAAAACAAGCUCUUCUUUCCUUUUUCGUAUGUGUUCUUCUUAAAACCCCUAGUCAAAGUUCAUACCUCUGGUAAUGAAUUCACACAAACAUAACACUAGUCCAAUCUCUACACUCUCCUUCUCAUCUCACUACAAAUACUCCCUCUUUGCUACCUCCUUAGACCUAAAACGACAACGUUUCACUUCUCCGUUGUUGUUGAUCUUCUUGUUCCUCUGUUUGUCUUUUGCUACUUCCAUGGCAGUCUCAGACUCAGAUUCAGACUCUGGUCCUGUUGUUCAGACGACCCCACUCGUCACCUUCCUCCAGCGCGUGCAACUCACGGCACUCCGAUCAUACUCCAAGAAGCCUGACCCUAAAUUCUACAUUGACCUGUCUCUCAAGCUCCCUCACGAUCUCUCCACCGCCGAGUCCGCCUUCGACGAUCUCACGACCGGGUCACGUGACCUGUCAGUGCCAGUGGAGAAGCUUGAAAAGUUCGUCCACGAGUACUUCGACGAUGCAGGGAAGGAUCUGGUGCACCACGAGCCAGAGGACUUCGUCUCAGAUCCCACCGAGUUCCUCCUCAACGUGGAGAACGACCAAGUCAGAGAAUGGGCGCGUGAGGUACACUGCCUUUGGAGAACCCUGAGCUGCAGAGUCUCUGACUCGGUCAUAGAGUCAC